AGAGUUUGAUCAUGGCUCAGAUUGAACGCUGGCGGCAGGCCUAACACAUGCAAGUCGAGCGGUAGCACAGAGAGCUUGCUCUCGGGUGACGAGCGGCGGACGGGUGAGUAAUGUCUGGGAAACUGCCUGAUGGAGGGGGAUAACUACUGGAAACGGUAGCUAAUACCGCAUAACGUCGCAAGACCAAAGUGGGGGACCUUCGGGCCUCAUGCCAUCAGAUGUGCCCAGAUGGGAUUAGCUAGUAGGUGGGGUAACGGCUCACCUAGGCGACGAUCCCUAGCUGGUCUGAGAGGAUGACCAGCCACACUGGAACUGAGACACGGUCCAGACUCCUACGGGAGGCAGCAGUGGGGAAUAUUGCACAAUGGGCGCAAGCCUGAUGCAGCCAUGCCGCGUGUGUGAAGAAGGCCUUCGGGUUGUAAAGCACUUUCAGCGGGGAGGAAGGCGUUAAGGUUAAUAACCUUGGCGAUUGACGUUACCCGCAGAAGAAGCACCGGCUAACUCCGUGCCAGCAGCCGCGGUAAUACGGAGGGUGCAAGCGUUAAUCGGAAUUACUGGCGUAAAGCGCACGCAGGCGGUCUGUCAAGUCGGAUGUGAAAUCCCCGGGCUCAACCUGGGAACUGCAUUCGAAACUGGCAGGCUAGAGUCUUGUAGAGGGGGGUAGAAUUCCAGGUGUAGCGGUGAAAUGCGUAGAGAUCUGGAGGAAUACCGGUGGCGAAGGCGGCCCCCUGGACAAAGACUGACGCUCAGGUGCGAAAGCGUGGGGAGCAAACAGGAUUAGAUACCCUGGUAGUCCACGCCGUAAACGAUGUCGAUUUGGAGGUUGUGCCCUUGAGGCGUGGCUUCCGGAGCUAACGCGUUAAAUCGACCGCCUGGGGAGUACGGCCGCAAGGUUAAAACUCAAAUGAAUUGACGGGGGCCCGCACAAGCGGUGGAGCAUGUGGUUUAAUUCGAUGCAACGCGAAGAACCUUACCUGGUCUUGACAUCCACAGAACUUUCCAGAGAUGGAUUGGUGCCUUCGGGAACUGUGAGACAGGUGCUGCAUGGCUGUCGUCAGCUCGUGUUGUGAAAUGUUGGGUUAAGUCCCGCAACGAGCGCAACCCUUAUCCUUUGUUGCCAGCGGUUAGGCCGGGAACUCAAAGGAGACUGCCAGUGAUAAACUGGAGGAAGGUGGGGAUGACGUCAAGUCAUCAUGGCCCUUACGACCAGGGCUACACACGUGCUACAAUGGCAUAUACAAAGAGAAGCGACCUCGCGAGAGCAAGCGGACCUCAUAAAGUAUGUCGUAGUCCGGAUUGGAGUCUGCAACUCGACUCCAUGAAGUCGGAAUCGCUAGUAAUCGUAGAUCAGAAUGCUACGGUGAAUACGUUCCCGGGCCUUGUACACACCGCCCGUCACACCAUGGGAGUGGGUUGCAAAAGAAGUAGGUAGCUUAACCUUCGGGAGGGCGCUUACCACUUUGUGAUUCAUGACUGGGGUGAAGUCGUAACAAGGUAACCGUAGGGGAACCUGCGGUUGGAUCACCU
This 1527-nucleotide ribosomal RNA is filed under the name Klebsiella pneumoniae. RNAcentral describes it as "bacterial SSU rRNA". It matches the Rfam family "Bacterial small subunit ribosomal RNA". Lineage: Bacteria; Pseudomonadati; Pseudomonadota; Gammaproteobacteria; Enterobacterales; Enterobacteriaceae. The record is from RNAcentral.